CCUACGGGAGGCAGCAGUGGGGAAUAUUGGGCAAUGGAGGAAACUCUGACCCAGCGACGCCGCGUGCGGGAUGAAGGCCUUCGGGUUGUAAACCGCUUUCAGUAGGGAAGAAGCGAAAGUGACGGUACCUACAAAAGAAGCACCGGCUAACUAUGUGCCAGCAGCCGCGGUAAUACAUAGGGUGCAAGCGUUGUCCGGAAUUAUUGGGCGUAAAGAGCUCGUAGGUCGUUUGUUACGUCGGAUGUGAAAACCUGAGGCUCAACCUCAGGCCUGCAUUCGAUACGGGCAAACUAGAGUUUGGUAGGGGAGACUGGAAUUCCUGGUGUAGCGGUGGAAUGCGCAGGUAUCAGGAGGAACACCAAUGGCGAAGGCAGGUCUCUGGGCCAAUACUGACACUGAGGAGCGAAAGUCUGGGGAGCGAACAGGAUUAGAUACCCUGGUAGUCCAGACCGUAAACGGUGGGCACUAGUUGUGGGAACCUUCCACGGUUUCUGCGACGCAGCUAACGCAUUAAGUGCCCCGCCUGGGGAGUACGAUCGCAAGAUUAAAACUCAAAGGAAUUGACGG
This 567-nucleotide ribosomal RNA is filed under the name uncultured Actinomycetes bacterium. Its description in RNAcentral is "bacterial SSU rRNA". It matches the Rfam family "Bacterial small subunit ribosomal RNA", at positions 338 to 916 of the family's 1533-position model. The record is from RNAcentral. Lineage: Bacteria; Bacillati; Actinomycetota; Actinomycetes.